AUGAGGCUAUGGACAAGUGUAGACUCUGAUUCCAGGCAUUUUCGUGACAAUAUCAGGUUUUUCAAUGGCCACUUCUCAUUCACCUCACUAUAUUGUCACCUUGAUAGUGAUACCACUAACAUAUCAAAGCACCCUAUCUAUACAUUUCGUGCCCAUGGCCAAAUGUACCACAACAUACGGUCAUUCGGCAAACAAGAUGGUUUGGAUCGUAGUCACUUGGAGCUCUACUUCUAUGAUGAUGACCCCAGUUUAGAACACAGGUAUCGCAGUUGCCGUAAAGAGCAGUGCCAGAAAGACAAAGAAGUAAUCACACAAUUGGUCAAGAUACUUCAUGGCAACCCAUACUCUGAACACCUCCGGAGUAUGGGCCAUGUUGAUGAUGUUGAUGACUAUCACAUAACACUUAACCUUGACCAACGGAUGGAUCAAAGAAGAUAUAACACGCCGACCACUUCAGAGGUAGCUGCUGUGUGGGUGGAGGAUAGUGAACGUCGAAGACAAUUCGAAAAUAGCGUCAUCCUGCAAGGUAAGAAUAGAGAUAUAUAUGGCAUCAAGUCCUACCAUGGAUGCUAUGAUGCGUUGUCGUACCCUCUUUUCUUCCCUAGAGGUGAACUUGGG
This 618-nucleotide ribosomal RNA is filed under the name Triticum aestivum (bread wheat). RNAcentral's name for it is "partial small subunit ribosomal RNA". Lineage: Eukaryota; Viridiplantae; Streptophyta; Magnoliopsida; Poales; Poaceae. The record is from RNAcentral.